UAAUACAGAGGGUGCGAGCGUUAAUCGGAGUUACUGGGCGUAAAGGGCGCGUAGGCGGUUUAAUAAGAUUGAUGUGAAAGCCCUGGGCUUAACCUAGGAACUGCAUCGAUGACUGUUAAGCUAGAGUAUUGUAGAGGGUAGUGGAAUUUCCGGUGUAGCGGUGAAAUGCGUAGAGAUCGGAAGGAACACCAGUGGCGAAGGCGGCUACCUGGACAAAUACUGACGCUGAGGCGCGAGAGCGUGGGGAGCAAACAGGAUUAGAUACCCUGGUAGUCCACGCUGUAAACGAUGAAAACUAGAUGUUGGGCAGCUUGACUGUUUAGUAUCGAAGCUAACGCGAUAAGUUUUCCGCCUGGGGAGUACGACCGCAAGGUUA
RNAcentral lists this ribosomal RNA (376 nucleotides) under uncultured bacterium. RNAcentral's name for it is "bacterial SSU rRNA". It matches the Rfam family "Bacterial small subunit ribosomal RNA", at positions 521 to 896 of the family's 1533-position model. The record is from RNAcentral.